CCGGCCCUGAGCACAGAGGCCGUGGGCUGAGACGCCAGAGAGCUGCUGCCGUUUCUGAGAAGGGAAGGGAGCCAGCUGCUUCGAGAGAACAGAGAGAACUACAGAGGGAAGAUUGCUGCAGGUGUCAAGGCCGCCUCUGCGCAUUCUUGAGGCCCAGCUGCAUCGGCGGCCGUCCUCACAUUUGGCUCCUGAAACCUCUUUUGGAUUCCAGGGGCAGUUAAUUUUUUUUUUUUUUUUACGUUUAAACUUGAUUUCUGACGUUGGAUGCUCAGUAAAAGGUCUGACCCACACGAGAUUAAUUUCUCAAGUACAAGGUCAGUUUAUUCCCGAGUAGCAUCCUGACUUAGCCGAUAGAAGGUGAGUAGGGGGCCCGAGAAGGGAGGGCAGCAGCCGAGUUUCUAAGACGCGUCCUCUGGCAGCCGUGCUCCUCACACCUGCAGCACCCGGACCACGGAGCCGCACCUCCUGGUUCUCCUUCCUCUUGGAUCCGCGCAGCUAACUUUCUCCCCGCCCUGACACAUCUCCUAGUGUAAAAAAUCCUUCUUCAUGUAGACCAAGAACAUUUUAAAAACAACUUUUUUCAACUUCAGCUAUAUCGAGGUAAAAAUCGACAUAUAAAAUUCUAAGAUGUUUGAAGUGUGCAUUGUGGUGAUUUGAUGUACACACACAGUGCGAAAGGGGCCCCAUCUGGUUGGCCAUCCCACGUGUACCUUCUGUGUUUCUGCAGAGAACACUGAAGUCUCACCCUCUUAGCAAAUUCCGAUCAUGCAGUACCACGUUAUCAACUAUAGUCACCGCGUUGUACAUGAGAUCCUCAGGCCUUCUCCAUCUAGUGGGGAUUCCACAGACAGGAAAGGAUGCCCCCCGCAUCACUCGCCAUCGGCGAAACGCACCUCAGAGCCACGGCGAGUCAUCCCCUCGCGCCUGUCACAGCGGCCAAACUCAAAAACACAAGAAGCCACCAGCGUCCGCGAGGAUGUGGAGAAAUGAGAAGGCUUGUGCCCCGUUGGUGGGAACAUUAAUUGGUGCAGCUGCUGUGGAAAACAGUAUGGAGUUUCCUCAAAAAAUUAAAAAUUAGAAAUACGGUGUGAUCUAGCGAUCCCACUUCUGGUACAUACUCAAAGGAAAUGAAAUCAGGGCAUGGAAGGAUCAUCCGUGCCCCGCCGCCCCCCCACCCCGCGCACCGUGGUCAAGACACGAAGCAGCUAAUGUCCA
Molecule: long non-coding RNA, 1215 nt
Organism: Neogale vison (American mink)
Lineage: Eukaryota; Metazoa; Chordata; Mammalia; Carnivora; Mustelidae
Exons: 3
Source: RefSeq, a predicted model, not a curated record